AUUAUAUUGAGGGACUAGGGUUACAUGUUGUGUUCACUGAAUCAUUUACAAUGAACAUAAACAUUUAUAAUCACAAAAAAAGGUAUUUCUGAAAAUCAGUAUCUGUUACCAUCAUUCAAAUGCAAUGUCAUUGAUUUAUAUUGCAUUAUUUAGUCUAUUGUUUUCUCAUUUUUUAAAAAAAUAGCAAUUAAGGCAAAGAGGAAAUCUUUAUGGUUAAUAUUUAAAAUUUUAUCUUUAGAAAUAAAAAAGUGGUUCAUCAUACAUAAAAGAAAAAACAAAUUUAAUCUGUAAGAGUACAUUAUCUUUAAUUUUCUUAAGUCAAAAACAGUUUACAUAUUAGCAUCAGUGUAAACAUCCUCUCUGACGUCACAAUGUUAAGACUUCUGUUGCCUUGGUCCCAUCUCAUUCUGACCCUGGGCUCAUUGGCCCUUAUAAUUUAAUCUGAACAAUGGAACCGGAGACAUCAGCAGUGUCCAGGCUCUCUGAUGAUCUUCAUCCUUCGCCAGCGGCAAUUCAUGAAUUAAAUACAGAGUUUUCUGAGGAAAGUACAGUAUACUCAGACCUCAAAGUUCAUUGUUCUUCAAAUACCCAGAAUGGAAAAAUAACUAAAACUUCGAAAACAAAAGUGUCUCCGUGGUGCAUUGCUGCUGUGAUAUUUGCCUUCCUUUAUAUAAUCACUCUGGUAAUAGUUGCAGCUAUGGUAGCUAAGAUUCAUUGUCUUGAGGAGAUCCUGCAAAAGGCAGCCACUGAGACUGCACAUUGCAAUAUAAUAUCACAAAACAAAGGUAAGUAUUGGUUUACAAUGGGAAUGUUGGUAUCUAUCACACAUAAGCUGUUUAAAUCUGGACAUAAUUUGUAA
Long non-coding RNA from Macaca mulatta (Rhesus monkey), 859 nucleotides. NCBI's taxonomy places the organism in Eukaryota, Metazoa, Chordata, Mammalia, Primates, Cercopithecidae. The record is from Ensembl.